RNAcentral lists this ribosomal RNA (247 nucleotides) under uncultured bacterium. Its description in RNAcentral is "partial 16S ribosomal RNA". It matches the Rfam family "Bacterial small subunit ribosomal RNA", at positions 57 to 305 of the family's 1533-position model. The record is from RNAcentral.
GCAAGUCGAACGGAGAAGCACCUUCGGGUGUGGAUCAGUGGCGAACGGGUGAGUAACACGUGGGUAACCUGCCCCUCACUUUGGGAUAACUCCGGGAAACCGGGGCUAAUACUGGAUAUCACCAGACCGGGCAUCCGGACUGGUUGAAAGGGUUUACUGGUGAGGGAUGGACCCGCGGCCUAUCAGCUAGUUGGUGGGGUAAUGGCCUACCAAGGCGACGACGGGUAGCCGGCCUGAGAGGGUGUAC